CGGGACGGGUGAGUAAUGCUUGGGAAUCUGGCUUAUGAGGGGGAGUAACUACGGGAAACUGUAGCUAAUACCGCGUAGUAUCGGAAGAUGAAAGUGCGGGACCGUAAGGCCGCAUGCCAUGGGAUGAGCCCAAGUGGGAUUAGGUAGUUGGUGGGGUAAAGGCUACCAAGCCUGCGAUCUCUAGCUGGUCUGAGAGGAUGGCCAGCCACACUGGAACUGAGACACGGUCCAG
This 232-nucleotide ribosomal RNA is filed under the name uncultured bacterium. RNAcentral describes it as "partial 16S ribosomal RNA". It matches the Rfam family "Bacterial small subunit ribosomal RNA", at positions 100 to 334 of the family's 1533-position model. The record is from RNAcentral.